This 252-nucleotide ribosomal RNA is filed under the name uncultured bacterium. RNAcentral's name for it is "partial 16S ribosomal RNA". It matches the Rfam family "Bacterial small subunit ribosomal RNA", at positions 524 to 775 of the family's 1533-position model. The record is from RNAcentral.
UACGAAGGGUGCAAGCGUUACUCGGAAUUACUGGGCGUAAAGCGUGCGUAGGUGGUUUGUUAAGUCUGCUGUGAAAUCCCCGGGCUCAACCUGGGAAUGGCAGUGGAUACUGGCAAGCUAGAGUGCGGUAGAGGGUAGUGGAAUUCCCGGUGUAGCAGUGAAAUGACGUAGAGAUCGGGAGGAACACCAGUGGCGAAGGCGGGUUGCUGGGCCGACACUGACGCUGAUGCGCGAAAGCCAGGGAGCGAACGG